Molecule: long non-coding RNA, 327 nt
Organism: Conger conger (European conger)
Lineage: Eukaryota; Metazoa; Chordata; Actinopteri; Anguilliformes; Congridae
Exons: 2
Source: RefSeq, a predicted model, not a curated record
AUUGCUCAUGCCUGUCUGUGCUGUAGGGGGAGAACUCCCGCAAUUUUCUCCAUUCGUGAUAAAGCCAUCAGUGGAGGAUCAUUUGUGUGGAGUCACGAUUGUUAUUUUGUCCCACUAUUCAGCUUGAUGACGACGAGGGUCUGGGGGCUACGUUCCUGGAGCCUCAGGAUGGCCUUCCGCAUGUUGAUCAGCCUCUGGAUGAAGAUCUCCAGGGGAAAGGGCCUGAAAUGCUGUCCCACUCCAAUGACCACCACAUCACCAAAGACUACUCUUUCUACCUCUCUGGAAAUGUACCUGUAAGCCAGAAAUAAUAAAAAUGUGGUGUAA